UCAUAAUUUCAUUCGAUUAUUUCAUCAAUUUCCUAAAGGACUGACUAAAUUUAAGUUCUCAAGUACAUAUAUUUUUUCCUAAAAAAUUUUUUGUUCCAGUUAACGAAAUUUCGUCUUCAUUCAAUUACGGGAUGCAGUGUCUUCGUGUCGAACGGAUCAGAGCCUCAGGGAGCUCUUGGUGUUCAUUCCAGAGCGAAUAAAGUGCAUUCCUGUAAGAUGAUUUCUGAGUAUAUUGCGGAUGUGGAAAAAGUCGGCCUGAAGGCAUACAGAUAUUUCCAGCCACCGACCCCUGAGCCACCGGUCGACGUCGUCUGGACUUCCCACUGCGCCCACUGGGUGGGGGUAUCAAAAUACGAAGCGCAACAAAUGUUGGAGUGGAUCCGGCAGAAAAACCGGAGCCUGCCGAAGGGGAAGGACUGGUGCCCGCAGAGCAGGACAUAGAGCGUCCUGCUGCUGAAGGGGCAGACCGACAGGAAGGUGGCGACGCAUGGUAUUGGGAUCCGCUUCGUGGAUUUAGUCUGUAUUGAUUUCGCUGCUAUUGCUGAUAUUGCGGCGCGGACACGGCUGACCGAGUUCGGCUCAUCCGAACUGACGCCCGAGUCCUCGGAUGCCAAUGAUGGUGUAGUGACAUCUACCUCGGCAGCUGCCGAGGCUCCAAUCGAGGGGAUGAUGUACUAUGGAUUUUGAUUGUGUCUAAAAUAAGAUUUAAGCCAAAACAA
This is a long non-coding RNA of Drosophila pseudoobscura, 719 nucleotides long. RefSeq lists it as uncharacterized. The record is from RefSeq and is a predicted model, not a curated record. NCBI's taxonomy places the organism in Eukaryota, Metazoa, Arthropoda, Insecta, Diptera, Drosophilidae. The transcript is spliced from 2 exons.